Molecule: transfer RNA, 68 nt
Filed under: Marmota monax (woodchuck)
Lineage: Eukaryota; Metazoa; Chordata; Mammalia; Rodentia; Sciuridae
Description: tRNA.Ala
Source: RNAcentral
GUGGUGGUUCAGUGGUAGAGCGCUCACUUAGCACGUGCAAGGCGCUGGGUUCAAUCCUCAGCACCACA